Molecule: ribosomal RNA, 253 nt
Filed under: uncultured bacterium
Lineage: Bacteria
Description: partial 16S ribosomal RNA
Rfam family: Bacterial small subunit ribosomal RNA
Source: RNAcentral
UACAGAGGGUGCGAGCGUUAAUCGGAAUUACUGGGCGUAAAGCGCACGUAGGCGGCUUGGUAUGUCGGGUGUGAAAUCCCCGGGCUCAACCUGGGAACUGCAUCCGAAACUGCCUUGCUCGAGUAUGGGAGAGGGAAGUGGAAUUUCCGGUGUAGCGGUGAAAUGCGUAGAUAUCGGAAGGAACACCGGUGGCGAAGGCGGCAUCCUGGACCGGCAUUGACGCUGAGGAGCGAAAGCCAGGGGAGCAAACGGG